This 527-nucleotide ribosomal RNA is filed under the name Marsenia sp. MNHN IM 2013-6312. RNAcentral's name for it is "partial large subunit ribosomal RNA". It matches the Rfam family "Bacterial large subunit ribosomal RNA", at positions 1815 to 2619 of the family's 2925-position model. The record is from RNAcentral. Lineage: Eukaryota; Metazoa; Mollusca; Gastropoda; Littorinimorpha; Velutinidae.
AUGGCUCUUUGUUAGUUAAACAUAAAGAGUCUGGCCUGCCCGGUGAUUUAUUUCAUUUAACGGCCGCGGUACUUUGACCGUGCAAAGGUAGCAUAAUCAUUUGUCUUAUAAUUGAAGUCUGGAAUGAAUGGCUGGACAAGAGCAAAGCUGUCUCUAACUAUUAAACAUAAUUUUAUUAUCAAGUUAAAAAGCUUGAAUAUAAUUAAAAGACGAGAAGACCCUAUCGAGCUUUAGGCUGUGCUAAAAUUUUUUGCAUUUAUGUAAAAAUAAUAUUUAAAUUGACUUUAGUUGGGGCGACUCGAGAACACAAGGAGCUUCUUGUUUUUAAAAUAUUGAUGGUUGACCCUUAAUUUAGGAUUAAAAAAAUUAGUUACCGUAGGGAUAACAGCAUUAUCUUUUUUGAGAGCUCAAAUCGAAAAAAAGGUUUGUGACCUCGAUGUUGGACCAAGAUAUCCUUAAGAUGCAGAAGUCUUAAAAGGUUGGUCUGUUCGACCAUUAAAAUCUUACGUGAUCUGAGUUCAGACCAG